RNAcentral lists this ribosomal RNA (520 nucleotides) under Hyporhamphus quoyi. RNAcentral's name for it is "partial 16S large subunit ribosomal RNA". It matches the Rfam family "Bacterial large subunit ribosomal RNA", at positions 1923 to 2596 of the family's 2925-position model. Lineage: Eukaryota; Metazoa; Chordata; Actinopteri; Beloniformes; Hemiramphidae. The record is from RNAcentral.
UUCAACGGCCGCGGUAUUUUGACCGUGCAAAGGUAGCGCAAUCACUUGUCCUUUAAAUGAGGACCCGUAUGAAUGGCUUAACGAGGGCUUAACUGUCUCCUUCCCCUAGUCAAUGAAAUUGAUCUCCCCGUGCAGAAGCGGGGAUAAACACAUAAGACGAGAAGACCCUUUGGAGCUUUAGACAACAAGCAGACCAUUAUCCCUCCCCUCAUAUAAAAGAAACAAACCAAUUGGACCCUGCUUUACUGUCUUUGGUUGGGGCGACCGCGGGGAAACAAAAAACCCCCAUGUGGAACGGGAGAUCAUCUCCUAUAACCAAGACCCACAGCUCUAAGUUUCAGAACUUCUGACCAAAAAGAUCCGGCAAUGCCGAUCAACGAACCGAGUUACCCUAGGGAUAACAGCGCAAUCCCCUUCUAGAGCCCAUAUCGACAAGGGGGUUUACGACCUCGAUGUUGGAUCAGGACAUCCUAAUGGUGCAGCCGCUAUUAAGGGUUCGUUUGUUCAACGAUUAAAGUCC